RNAcentral lists this ribosomal RNA (253 nucleotides) under uncultured bacterium. RNAcentral's name for it is "partial 16S ribosomal RNA". It matches the Rfam family "Bacterial small subunit ribosomal RNA", at positions 524 to 776 of the family's 1533-position model. The record is from RNAcentral.
UACGGAGGGUGCGAGCGUUGUCCGGAAUCACUGGGCGUAAAGGGCGCGUAGGCGGCUUCUUAAGCGUGUGGUGAAAGCUCAGGGCUCAACUCUGAGUCGGCCAUGCGAACUGGGAGGCUUGAGCACUGUAGAGGCAGGUGGAAUUCCGGGUGUAGCGGUGGAAUGCGCAGAUAUCAGGAGGAACACCGGUGGCGAAGGCGGGUCUCUGGGCCGUAACUGACGCUGAGGAGCGAAAGCGUGGGGAGCGAACAGG